GACGAACGCUGGCGGCGUGCCUAAUACAUGCAAGUAGAACGCAGUUGCGAGCGGGAGAGUAAGGCGUAGUUAACUGCCAGGGAGCGGGGAAUAACAAAUGGAAACGAUAGCUAAUACCGCAUACAACCAGAUGGACCUGCGUUGUAUUAGCAAGAUGGUGAGGUAACGGCUCACCAAGGCAACGAUACAUAGCCUAACUGAGAGGGUGAUUGGCCACACGUGGACGUAGAAACGCCCCCGAUUUCUACGGGAGGAAGCAGUAGGGAAUCUUCGGCAAGUGGGGGAACCCUGACCGCUCAACGCCGCGGGAAUGAAGAAGGUUUUCGGAUCGUAAAGCUCUGUUGUUAAGGAAGCGGUACUUAACCAGAAAGGGACGGCUAACUACGUGCCAGCAGCCGCGGUAAUUC
Molecule: ribosomal RNA, 407 nt
Filed under: uncultured bacterium
Lineage: Bacteria
Description: partial 16S ribosomal RNA
Rfam family: Bacterial small subunit ribosomal RNA
Source: RNAcentral